Molecule: ribosomal RNA, 301 nt
Filed under: uncultured bacterium
Lineage: Bacteria
Description: partial 16S ribosomal RNA
Rfam family: Bacterial small subunit ribosomal RNA
Source: RNAcentral
CAGCCGCCACGGGAAUACGAAGGGGGCUAGCGUUGUUCGGAAUUACUGGGCGUAAAGCGCACGUAGGCGGACAUUUAAGUCAGGGGUGAAAUCCCGGGGCUCAACCCCGGAACUGCCUUUGAUACUGGGUGUCUUGAGUGUGGAAGAGGUCAGUGGAAGUGCGAGUGUAGAGGUGAAAUUCGUAGAUAUUCGCAGGAACACCAGUGGCGAAGGCGGCUGACUGGUCCACAACUGACGCUGAGGUGCGAAAGCGUGGGGAGCAAACAGGAUUAGAUACCCGGGUAGUCCCUGUCUCUUAUAC